Molecule: small RNA, 66 nt
Filed under: Caulobacter vibrioides NA1000
Lineage: Bacteria; Pseudomonadati; Pseudomonadota; Alphaproteobacteria; Caulobacterales; Caulobacteraceae
Description: small non-coding RNA
Source: RNAcentral
UUUUAGUAAGCGUACCCAGUAAAGCGUAGCGGCACGGGCGCUGGAGCAAUCCAGCGCCCGUUCUGC